AUACUUACCUGGCAGGGGAGACACCAUGAUCACAUGGUUUUCCCAGGGUGAGGCUUAUCCAUUGCACUCCGGAUGUGCUGACCCCUGUGAUUUCCCCAAAUGUGGGAAACUCGACUGCAUAAUUUGUGGUAGUGGGGAAAAAAAAAAAAAGAGUUCAUUGAACCAUCCAAC
Molecule: small nuclear RNA, 171 nt
Filed under: Sorex araneus (European shrew)
Lineage: Eukaryota; Metazoa; Chordata; Mammalia; Eulipotyphla; Soricidae
Description: U1 spliceosomal RNA (ENSSARG00000016624.1)
Rfam family: U1 spliceosomal RNA
About the family: U1 is a small nuclear RNA (snRNA) component of the spliceosome (involved in pre-mRNA splicing).
Source: RNAcentral